AUUGUAGGUCCAGCGAGGGAAGCCAGAGGAGCGGCCUCUCCUCGGGAUUAGCAGAGUCCCGGAUUGUCGUCCCGGGACGGACCGGGACACCGGACGCUUGGCGGGGAGGGGCCCGCCGCGGCCCACGUGGACACUGCCAGUGAGCGGUUAACACUAAUCCUGCUGCUGAUUACCGCUGGCAUCAGGGAAAUAAACAGCAAUACAUAAACCUACGAGGCGGAGCACACGUUUGGUUGUGGCUUGUGUCUCAGGUGAAAAAUCAAAUACCACUUCAAACCCCACAAAUUCAAACUCCAAAAUUUCAAACUCCGAAACUUCAAACUCCGAAACUUCAAAUGUAAAUGGCUCCACUACCGCCACUCAAACAUCCCUCAACGCCAUCACCACCACCGGAACCACCACCAAUGCCACCGAUGCCUCAAGCUACACACCGAGCAGCAGCGCCAUCUCGCCCUCGACAGCAACGCAGACCGGAUUCUCCAGUUCAAGUGGGGGAAGUGUCAAAACAACAAGCGCACCUAGAACCACGGACAAAAUGACAACAACUACCACCAAAGUACACAAAAAGGAGACAACCACCACUGCUAAGCCAGCUGAGACGGCGUCAGUGGACACCACCGGCAUUAUCAUCCUAGUUGUGAUCGGCGUCGUAAUCCUUGGAUUUGGAGUUUGCUGCUACUUACAGCGGAAUAGAAGAAGGCGGUACUCUGUGGACUUCACCUCCAGACCGGAUGAAGCCAACAUCCCUCUCAGCACCAUGGAGCCCGAGUUACAGGUCGAUGCCGCGCCUCAGAACGGACUGCAAACCUUUGAAAGGGAAGAAGCUAAGACAGAGAUGCGAGAACCAGAGGCCAAGCCUGAAGCAAAGGAGGAGCAGAAAGGUGAGGCUGAGGAAUCUCACGUUGGUCCCGGGGCUGAGUCUGCUGCCCCGGCGGCGACCCCAGAGAGCCCCGCGGACGAACCCAAAGCGGCCGCCGUUGAGCAGAGUCCCCCCGCGCCCGUGGAGCCAAGUGUGGACGAGAAAACCGACGAAGAAGGCGACGUCUCCAACAAGACCUCUGUGGAGUCGCUGAAAGAGACCAACGAGAACAACAGCAAUAAUGCCGACUUCAAUGCGACUGGAGAUGUGAUCAGCAUCAACUUCUGGGACGUUCCUCUCAAUAGUCCGCUGUGAGACAUUUCACCUAUCUGUGCUGUUCUUCAGGAACUUGAUUGAAGGAGUGACCACGACGGAGAAGGGCACGUCUGCUCGUACCGUGUGAGAUAUUUAGCGGGCUGUUUUCUCCUUGUUAGAAACAAAUUUACUGCAGCAGAGCAGCUUUUUCCCAGUUAAACGUUAGCUGAACUCUGAGUUUUAAGCAUUUUAGUGAUUUAACGGUGACUAUUUAGUUGGUCUAUAUACUAAAUGUGAUUACGUUUGGUACUGCAGAACAGUAAUACACGUUGAAUUUCAUCUCCCAAGCCAU
Molecule: long non-coding RNA, 1466 nt
Organism: Gasterosteus aculeatus aculeatus (three-spined stickleback)
Lineage: Eukaryota; Metazoa; Chordata; Actinopteri; Perciformes; Gasterosteidae
Source: Ensembl